This 465-nucleotide ribosomal RNA is filed under the name Holothuria leucospilota. Its description in RNAcentral is "partial 16S ribosomal RNA". It matches the Rfam family "Bacterial large subunit ribosomal RNA", at positions 1933 to 2612 of the family's 2925-position model. The record is from RNAcentral. Lineage: Eukaryota; Metazoa; Echinodermata; Holothuroidea; Aspidochirotida; Holothuriidae.
UCUAAAAAAAACUUGGCCGGGGUAAGGUAGAAUAAUCACUUGUCUUUUAAAUGGAGACCUGUAUGAACGGCAAAACCUUUUCAAACUGUCUCCCUCCCUACCUUUUAAACUCCUUUUCACGCGAAGAAGCGUGAAUACAUCAGAAAGACGAGAAGACCCUGUCGAGCUUCAGCCAAUAAGUGAGUAACAAAACCUAUUUAACAUCACCCAAAGGCUUUGGUUGGGGCAACCAUGGAGAACAUUAAUCCUCCAGAACAAAGACGAACUCUCUUCCCUACUAACGAACUAAAGAACCAGGCUGGUAAUCGGAAAAAGUUACCGCAGGGAUAACAGCGUCAUCCCCUUUAAGAGUCCUUAUUGACAAGGGGGUUUGCGACCUCGAUGUUGGAUUGGGGCUCCCUUAGGGUGCAGAAGCUCUAAACGGUUAGACUGUUCGUCUAUUAAAGCCCUACGUGAUCUGAGUUC